UACGGAGGUGGCAAGCGUUGUUCGGAAUUACUGGGCGUAAAGAGUGUGUAGGCGGUGUUCUAAGUCUGGUGUGAAAUCUCCCGGCUCAACUGGGAGGGUGCGCUAGAAACUGGAAUGCUAGAGGAUGGGAGAGGUAAGCGGAAUUCCUGGUGUAGCGGUGGAAUGCGCAGAUAUCAGGAGGAACACCGGUGGCGAAGGCGGGUCUCUGGGCCAUUACUGACGCUGAGGAGCGAAAGCGUGGGGAGCGAACAGG
RNAcentral lists this ribosomal RNA (253 nucleotides) under uncultured bacterium. RNAcentral describes it as "partial 16S ribosomal RNA". It matches the Rfam family "Bacterial small subunit ribosomal RNA", at positions 524 to 776 of the family's 1533-position model. The record is from RNAcentral.